Non-coding RNA from Peromyscus maniculatus bairdii (prairie deer mouse), 4655 nucleotides. The record is from RefSeq and is a predicted model, not a curated record. NCBI's taxonomy places the organism in Eukaryota, Metazoa, Chordata, Mammalia, Rodentia, Cricetidae.
ACCCGGCAGCCAGGGUUUUUAUUAAUGUUUUUACUGGGUUCUUCUAAAUGCAUUUGUACUAAGUACAUUUCAUACCAUGACUUUGAACACAUUCACCUCCUGCGCGCCCUCAACUCCCUCAGUUCCAGCCCUUCUCCCUCCACCCCCAACUUCAUGUCUUCUUUUUCCCAUAACCUACUGAUUCCAAGUCCUGCUCUCCGCAUCUGAGUCCGGGGCCAUCCACGGGAGUGGAGUUGGCCUACCGAUUGUCAAACCCUUGAAGACAAUUGACCCUUCCUCCCCUAGAAGCUAUCAGCUGUCCAUGGCACCUCAGUUAGGGAUGAAGGCUCGAGAGUCCUCCCUGCGCCACACUAGAAUGUCAGCUGGCUUGAGCUAAGCACCUUAAAUAGAGAAUUACAAAUCGGUUAAAAGAAAAAGAUUUUAAAAAGGUAUAGCAUGUAAACAUCAAAAGACGAGUGAAAUGACCAUUGUGUGUGUGUGUGUGUGUGUGUGUGUGUGUGUGUGUGUAUGUGUGUGUGUGUAAAAUUAGGUUUCAGAACAAGGAGUGUUACCGGGGAUGAAAAGGGGCACCAUGUGACGAUAAAGAUUCCAUGACUCCAAUUCUGUGCCCACAUAACACAAUGGUCUUCAAAUACAGAAAACAGGAUUUGGUAAACUAAACAUAAAUUCACAGUUGUGUAGUUGGGGACUUUAAUAUUACUCUUGCAGUAACCAAUGGAACAAGCACAAAUAAUGGGUAGUGAAGAGCUGACCAACACUAACAGUCAGCAGUUAGAGGUCACUCUAGUCCCAUACAACAAAAUAUAUAUGACUUUCUUAUGCAAGCACAACAUUUGCUAUGUAGACAAUACAGCAUGUUUAGAAUAACCCCAUAUAAAACAGUUCUUUUCUCAUAACAGAAUUAAAUAGAAUCCAAUAAUAAAACAGAUACCUGAAAACUCACAAAUAUAUGAAACCAGAACAAAACAAUUCUGAAUUAUCCAUGAGUCAAAGGAAGAAAGAAGUAAAGUCAUAAAAUAUGUUGAACAGACCAGAGAGGAUCCACAUUCGUGAGAUGUGAAGGUAAAUUUAUAAUAUUGUUUGCACCCAAAAGGAAGACAGAUGUACCAGUGAGGUUACCUCCCAUCUUAGUAACCUGGAGACAGAGUGCAAAUUAACCCUGAACUGGUGGAGGAAACGGAAGAAGAAUGAAACUGGGAAGAAAAGCUAUAAAGAAAAUACUGAAAUCAAAUGUUGGCAUUUUGAAAAGAUGAACAAAAUCAAUAAGCUGUAGUCAGAUUCAUUAAGAAGAGAUAGGACAAAGACAUAAAUCACCCAAUCAGGAAUGAACAGGGCAGCGCCAAGGUCCUACAGUUAAUUAAAAGAACAAUUGGAACUGUUACCAACUUUAUGCCAUAAAACUAGCAACUUGGUGAAAUAAAGACCGUGAAAAAGUUAUCAAAGCUCCUUCCAACAAUAAAGCUGAACAGUGUAAGUCACAGAAGCAAAACUUCCAACUUCAGGCCUAGAUACCUUCGCUGGCAAGUCUACCCAAGGAAGGAAGGAAGAGGGCCAGUUCUAGCAAAGGACUUGAGGAAGCCGUUCCCAGCUCAUUAUGAAGCUGCCACUGACCUGAGACUCAAGCCUGUCAUAGGCAGUACAAGAAUCCAGCCAAAUAGUUCUCACAAAUACAAACACAAAAUCCCAUGGACAGGACAGGGCCAGAGAGAUGGAUCAGCUGGCAAAGGUUCUCGCCACCCAGCCUGGCAGAGUUCAAUCCCUGUGACCCAGGGAAAGAUUGGUAGAAAGGACUGACUCCACAGAGUUGUCCCCACCUCUGCAUGUGCAGUGUGGCAUGUGUACCCCUCCCCCAAUACAUAUAUCAUAUGUAUCUAGAGUCAGCGGGACUUCUCAGGACCCUAACACUCUGGCCCUGAGGCAGCCAUAGGGGUACUGUUGAUGUCUGUGGCUCCUGCUACCACCUGUGACCAUGUUGGUGUUGGAGGGAUGAGCCCCCAUGGGGCCAUGCCAAUCUAAGAGGCCUGUGCUGCCACUUGGGACCAUGGUGAUGUCUGGGGCAGACUGCUGCUGGGUGCCAUGUUUGGGUCCAUGGCCCUGCUGUGGCCAGGGUAUGAGUUGAUGUCCAUGGUUCCUGUUGCCAUUGAGGGCCAUGCAGAGACCCACAGUCUGGGUUGACACCUGGGGCCAUGUUGAUCCUUGAUUGUCAAGCUGCCUCAGGGCCAUGGUGUUAUCCAGACCCACACUGCAGCUGAGGGCCAUAUCUGGGUCUCUGGCCCUACCACAACCAAAGUCUGGGUUGAUGUCCAUGACUCUUGUUACCACCAAAGGCUGAGCAGAUGCCUAGGGUCUGGGCCACCACCUGAUGACAUGUUGGCAUUAUAGGGCCAUGCCACCACUGGGGCCAUGCUGAUCUGGGCAAACUGCAAUGCCAGCUAGGGCCACAAUGACAUCAGGGACCAAGCUGCUGACAAGGACCAUGUCUGGGUCUGUGGUCUUAACUGCAGCCUGAGUCUGUGUUGAUGUCAGUGGCUCAUGUUGCCAUCAAAGGCCACAAUGGAUGCCCAGGAUCUGGGCUGCCACCUGUGGCCAUGUUGGUGUCUGAGGUCCAUGACACUGCUCAUACAGACUUGAAUGACAUGCGGGCAGGAGCUGUGGCUGGGGCCAGGUCUGGGUCCCGGCCCCUGCUGCAGCCAGGGUUUGUAUUAAUGUCUGAGGCUCCUGUGGCCAUCCAAGGCUGUGCAGAUGCUUGGAAUCUGGGCCCCCACCUGAUGCCAUGUGGGUGUUCUAGGCCCAUGCUGCUGCUGGGUUCAUUCUGAUCUGAGUGGCCUGCACUGCCAGCGGGGGUCAUGGUGUUAUCUGGGCCUGAGCUGUCACCAAGGGCCAUGUCUGGGUCUGUGGCCCUACUGCAGCCAUGGUCUGUGUCAAUGUCCAUGGCUCCUGUUACCACUGAAAGCAGUGAGGAUCGGGUUGCACAGAGUUGGUCCCACCCCCUCACCAACUGCAGCGCUUGGGAGAGCAGGCCCUGCACCUCACCUGGGCAGCACAGUAGAGAUGGCCCUGUGAGUGGGGAUGCAGGUGAGCUGGUCCUGAAGGCAUGAGAAUAGGAAAGCUGGCCCCACUGUCUGUCAUGUGAUAAUGUAGGUCCGUCCUCCCCCACCCCCCGCCACCUACUGCAGGCCGGAAAAGCUGGUCCCUGGAUCAUAAGAGUGGGAGAGCUGACCCUGUCCCUCACCAGCAGCAGCACUUGAGAGAGAGAGGGUCCUGCACCUUGUCUGGGCAAAAUAGAAAAGCUGGCCCUGGUGUGAGUGAGGGUGGCCAGACCUGAGGUCACGAGAGCAGGAGAACUGGCCGUGCUCCUUGCUGUCUGCUGCAGUGGGUGAGCUAGUCGGGGCAGUGCUGGAGAGCUUACCCUGGUGAUGAGGAGGAGGAAAAGCUGGCGGGAUGACCAAUCCAGCUACCACCCAGGCCCAGAACCAGGACUGUGAGUUGGCCCACCCCAACAUCUACUGAAUCUGUGAACUGUGAGAGCAUGUAAAGAGACCAGUCCUGCAGACCCAAAGCUGCAGGAUCUCCACGACACAGGGCAACAGCAGGAUAUCCAGGAGGAGUCCCAGCGAGGGCCCAGCAUGGAUAGUGUAGCAGAAACCAGAGGCCUUGAACCAGACCAGUGACUCAUUGUAGUAAACCCAAGUAAAGAUGUUCAGACUCAAGGUUAUACUGUGUGACUCACUGAGCCACAUUACAUCUUCCACACCGAGAUUUUUUUCUUUUGUUUGUUUGUUUUGUUUUUUCAGUUUUACUUUUAAAUUCUGUUUUGUUUGGGGGGGGGUGGAUUGCAAGGGCAGAGGGCGGAAGCAAGUGGACGGGGAAAUGAGUAGGGUUGAGAUAUAUGAUAUGAAAUCCACACAGAAUUAACUUUUAAAAGUUUUAAAAAGAAGAAUUGAAAAAAAAGUUAAAUGAAUUUUAGCCUGUGAUUAAGACAAUUUUCAGUGGUUUCUGAAAUGGAUCUAAACAUACGUGUGCUGUUUUGUACUACAUACUUAACGUUCAGUGGCCUUCUCAGCACUGACGUUUAAAAAUCAGAUAUUAAUCAACUCUGAAAAAUGUUGAAGAUGUUUGUGGUGGUUUGAAAGAGAAUCCCCUUACACUCAUAUAUUUGAAUGCUUGUUUCUUAGUUGGUGAAACUAUUUGGGAAGGAUCAGGAGAUGUGGCCUUGUUGAAGGAGUUGUGCCACUUGGGGUGGACUUGAGGUUUUAAAAGCCCAUGCCAUUUCUGGUUAUCUCUGUCUCUCUGCCUUAUGAUUAUUGUCUCGAUGUGUAAGCUCUCAGCUACUGCUCCAGCACCACGCCUGCCUGCCUGCCGCCAUGCUCCCCACCAUCAUGGUCACAGACUAACCCUCUGCAAAUGUAAGCAAGCCCCCAAGUAAAUGCUUUUUUUUAAGUUGCCUUGGUCAUGGUGUCUCUUCACACCAGCCGAAAAGUAACUAAGACAAUGCUCUACAUCCUAAGUAUCAGAUAUUCAGCUAAUAGUUCUUAUAAAAAUAGACAAGCACACCCACCUCAUUCAUAUGUAAAUUUGCUUUCAAAAUCUUUGCUAAAUGGUAAAGGUAUAUGUAUACCAAAGAAUUGUCUUAAAAUAAACUUGUUUAUUAUGAA